RNAcentral lists this transfer RNA (77 nucleotides) under Bacteroidales bacterium. RNAcentral describes it as "tRNA-OTHER". Lineage: Bacteria; Pseudomonadati; Bacteroidota; Bacteroidia; Bacteroidales. The record is from RNAcentral.
UCCCCGUAAAGCUGGUAAAUGGAGCAGUCAGCCGCUGAUGAUGAGUAUGAGCGCAGGUUCGAUUCCUGCACGGGGAG